Molecule: small nucleolar RNA, 146 nt
Organism: Mastomys coucha (southern multimammate mouse)
Lineage: Eukaryota; Metazoa; Chordata; Mammalia; Rodentia; Muridae
Product: small nucleolar RNA SNORA48
Exons: 1
Source: RefSeq, a predicted model, not a curated record
UACCUUCUUGUCAAUGGGCAAAGGGAUACUUGGUUGGUGAUCUUGUUCUUAUAUCAGUCAGGGGCAGAACAGAUGGUAGUCCUUUGCUUACCCUACCUUGAUGGCUGGCUUAGUGGUCAAUGCUGUCUUAUGUUUAAGACUCAUAA